UCAGAGGCGAUGAAGGGCGUGCUAAUCUGCGAUAAGCGCCGGUAAGGUGAUAUGAACCGUUAUAACCGGCGAUACCCGAAUGGGGAAACCCAGUGUGACUCGUCACACUAUCAUUAACUGAAUCCAUAGGUUAAUGAGGCGAACCGGGGGAACUGAAACAUCUAAGUACCCCGAGGAAAAGAAAUCAACCGAGAUUCCCCCAGUAGCGGCGAGCGAACGGGGAGGAGCCCAGAGCCUGAAUCAGCAUGUGUGUUAGUGGAAGCGUCUGGAAAGGCGCGCGAUACAGGGUGACAGCCCCGUACACAAAAGCGCAUGUGCUGUGAGCUCGAUGAGUAGGGCGGGACACGUGGUAUCCUGUCUGAAUAUGGGGGGACCAUCCUCCAAGGCUAAAUACUCCUGACUGACCGAUAGUGAACCAGUACCGUGAGGGAAAGGCGAAAAGAACCCCGGCGAGGGGAGUGAAAAAGAACCUGAAACCGUGUACGUACAAGCAGUGGGAGCACCCUUUGGGGUGUGACUGCGUACCUUUUGUAUAAUGGGUCAGCGACUUAUAUUCUGUAGCAAGGUUAACCGAAUAGGGGAGCCGGAGGGAAACCGAGUCUUAACCGGGCGUUAAGUUGCAGGGUAUAGACCCGAAACCCGGUGAUCUAGCCAUGGGCAGGUUGAAGGUUGGGUAACACUAACUGGAGGACCGAACCGACUAAUGUUGAAAAAUUAGCGGAUGACCUGUGGCUGGGGGUGAAAGGCCAAUCAAACCGGGAGAUAGCUGGUUCUCCCCGAAAGCUAUUUAGGUAGCGCCUCGUGAAUUCAUCUCCGGGGGUAGAGCACUGUUUCGGCUAGGGGGCCAUCCCGGCUUACCAACCCGAUGCAAACUGCGAAUACCGGAGAAUGUUAUCACGGGAGACACACGGCGGGUGCUAACGUCCGUCGUGAAGAGGGAAACAACCCAGACCGCCAGCUAAGGUCCCAAAGUCAUGGUUAAGUGGGAAACGAUGUGGGAAGGCCCAGACAGCCAGGAUGUUGGCUUAGAAGCAGCCAUCAUUUAAAGAAAGCGUAAUAGCUCACUGGUCGAGUCGGCCUGCGCGGAAGAUGUAACGGGGCUAAACCAUG
This 1110-nucleotide ribosomal RNA is filed under the name Salmonella enterica subsp. enterica serovar Sandiego. RNAcentral's name for it is "partial 23S ribosomal RNA". It matches the Rfam family "Bacterial large subunit ribosomal RNA", at positions 40 to 1191 of the family's 2925-position model. Lineage: Bacteria; Pseudomonadati; Pseudomonadota; Gammaproteobacteria; Enterobacterales; Enterobacteriaceae. The record is from RNAcentral.